UACGAAGGGGGCUAGCGUUGCUCGGAAUCACUGGGCGUAAAGGGCGCGUAGGCGGACUUUUAAGUCGGGGGUGAAAGCCCAGGGCUCAACCCUGGAAUUGCCUUCGAUACUGAGAGUCUUGAGUUCGGAAGAGGUUGGUGGAACUGCGAGUGUAGAGGUGAAAUUCGUAGAUAUUCGCAAGAACACCAGUGGCGAAGGCGGCCAACUGGUCCGAUACUGACGCUGAGGCGCGAAAGCGUGGGGAGCAAACAGG
Molecule: ribosomal RNA, 253 nt
Filed under: uncultured bacterium
Lineage: Bacteria
Also listed under: 2 other names
Description: partial 16S ribosomal RNA
Rfam family: Bacterial small subunit ribosomal RNA
Source: RNAcentral